Molecule: ribosomal RNA, 443 nt
Filed under: uncultured bacterium
Lineage: Bacteria
Description: partial 16S ribosomal RNA
Rfam family: Bacterial small subunit ribosomal RNA
Source: RNAcentral
ACCAGACUCCUACGGGAGGCAGUGGGGAAUAUUGCACAAUGGGGGAAACCCUGAUGCAGCAACGCCGCGUGAAGGAAGACGGUUUUCGGAUUGUAAACUUCUGUUCUUAGUGAAGAAGAAUGACGGUAGCUAAGGAGCAAGCCACGGCUAACUACGUGCCAGCAGCCGCGGUAAUACGUAGGUGGCAAGCGUUAUCCGGAAUUACUGGGCGUAAAGGGUGCGUAGGUGGUUUCUUAAGUCAGAGGUGAAAGGCUACGGCUCAACCGUAGUAAGCCUUUGAAACUGGGAAACUUGAGUGCAGGAGAGGAGAGUGGAAUUCCUAGUGUAGCGGUGAAAUGCGUAGAUAUUAGGAGGAACACCAGUUGCGAAGGCGGCUCUCUGGACUGUAACUGACACUGAGGCACGAGAGCGUGGGGAGCAAACAGGAUUAGAUACCCGGGUAA